This 778-nucleotide ribosomal RNA is filed under the name uncultured Neocallimastigales. Its description in RNAcentral is "partial large subunit ribosomal RNA". It matches the Rfam family "Eukaryotic large subunit ribosomal RNA", at positions 23 to 634 of the family's 3401-position model. The record is from RNAcentral. Lineage: Eukaryota; Fungi; Neocallimastigomycota; Neocallimastigomycetes; Neocallimastigales.
UAGAGACUCAGAGCUGCAUAUCAAUAAGCGGAGGAAAAGAAACUAACUAGGAUUCCCAUUAGUAACGGCGAGUGAAGCGGGAAGAGCUCAAAUUUGAAAUCUUCAAGGUUUACCUUGACGAAUUGUAGUUUAUAGAAGUGUUUUCUGUAGUGGAGUUUGGUAAAAGUUCUUUGGAAUAGGACAUCAUAGAGGGUGAGAAUCCCGUAUUUGAUCAUUAUUCCCUAGCUGUGUGAUACACUUUCAAAGAGUCGGAUUGUUUGGGAAUGCAGUCCAAAAUGGGUGGUAAAUUUCAUCUAAAGCUAAAUAUUGGCGAGAGACCGAUAGCGAACAAGUACCGUGAGGGAAAGAUGAAAAGAACUUUGAAAAGAGAGUUAAACAGUACGUGAAAUUGUCAAAAGGGAAGCGUUUGACACCAGUGUUGUUUUCUCGAAAAUCAAUUACAAAUGACCUGGAUUUUGUGUUGUAUUGACUUUAUCAGCUUUCUGCACUUUUUUCUUAUCUUUUUUAAUGCACUUUUCGUUUAACAAGUCAACAUCAAUUUCUUUUGCUGUAAAAGGGUCAUUGGAAGGUGGCUUUCAUUUCGGUAGAAAGUGUUUAUAGCCUUUUACCUUCUGCAAUCGGAGAGAUUGAGGUCUGCAGCGUAGAUCCUUCGGGGUUAGAUACAUUUGUGCUAAGUUAUAGUUUUUCAUAGACAACAUGUUGACUAUGAUUAGUCAUGUAGCUUACUCGCUUAUGCUAUUUUACCUACGCUUAGGAUGUUGAUAGUCACAGCGUGUAC